UGGGGUGUAGCUCAGUCGGCAGAGCAAGUGGCUGUUAACCACUGGGUCGGGGGUUCGAGCCCCUCCACCCCAGCCA
Molecule: transfer RNA, 76 nt
Filed under: Chitinivibrionales bacterium
Lineage: Bacteria; Pseudomonadati; Fibrobacterota; Chitinivibrionia; Chitinivibrionales
Description: tRNA-Asn
Rfam family: tRNA
About the family: Transfer RNA (tRNA) molecules are approximately 80 nucleotides in length. Their secondary structure includes four short double-helical elements and three loops (D, anti-codon, and T loops). Further hydrogen bonds mediate the characteristic L-shaped molecular structure. tRNAs have two regions of fundamental functional importance: the anti-codon, which is responsible for specific mRNA codon recognition, and the 3' end, to which the tRNAs corresponding amino acid is attached (by aminoacyl-tRNA synthetases). tRNAs cope with the degeneracy of the genetic code in two manners: having more than one tRNA (with a specific anti-codon) for a particular amino acid; and 'wobble' base-pairing, i.e. permitting non-standard base-pairing at the 3rd anti-codon position.
Source: RNAcentral